RNAcentral lists this ribosomal RNA (497 nucleotides) under uncultured bacterium. RNAcentral describes it as "partial 16S ribosomal RNA". It matches the Rfam family "Bacterial small subunit ribosomal RNA", at positions 28 to 507 of the family's 1533-position model. The record is from RNAcentral.
GGUGAACGCUGGCGGCGUGCCUAAUACAUGCAAGUCGAGCGAACAGACGAGGAGCUUGCUCCUCUGAUGUUAGCGGCGGACGGGUGGGUAACACGUGGAUAACCUACCUAUAAGACUGGGAUAACUUCGGGAAACCGGAGCUAAUACCGGAUAACAUGUUGAACCGCAUGGUUCAACAGUGAAAGACGGUCUUGCUGUCACUUAUAGAUGGAUCCGCGCCGCAUUAGCUAGUUGGUAAGGUAACGGCUUACCAAGGCAACGAUGCGUAGCCGACCUGAGAGGGUGAUCGGCCACACUGGAACUGAGACACGGUCCAGACUCCUACGGGAGGCAGCAGUAGGGAAUCUUCCGCAAUGGGCGAAAGCCUGACGGAGCAACGCCGCGUGAGUGAAGAAGGUCUUCGGAUCGUAAAACUCUGUUAUUAGGGAAGAACAAAUGUGUAAGUAACUAUGCACGUCUUGACGGUACCUAAUCAGAAAGCCACGGCUAACUACGUG